This is a long non-coding RNA of Ictalurus punctatus (channel catfish), 2738 nucleotides long. RefSeq lists it as uncharacterized. The transcript is spliced from 3 exons. NCBI's taxonomy places the organism in Eukaryota, Metazoa, Chordata, Actinopteri, Siluriformes, Ictaluridae. The record is from RefSeq and is a predicted model, not a curated record.
UUGUUACGCCACGGCCAGCAGAUGGCACUGUGGCAUGACUCCGGACUGGUCACAUGACUUUGUUUUGUUUUCAUUCGCUUUCUGCCCGAGUUCUAGUUUCUGUUUGAGGAUGUCCUUGAUUUAACCCAGGUGUCUUUGGUUUAGAUUAAUUAUGUUGGGUAUUUAAACCCCUCGGGUCUAUGCGCACGUGGCGCGAUAUUGUUUGUAGCGGAGAUACCUUUGUGAGACGCAUCAGCCUUAACGGUGUGACAGCUAAGUUUAGCAUGCUAAGCGGUCUUUGUUUUCAUGUCCUGUUUCCUGCCUCGACUCUGGCCUCAUGUUUUCUUGCUAACUCCGUAUAGGCCUGUUUGUUUAAUUGAUUUAUUAAUAAAGACAGUGCUCCUGCACUUACUUCCUGUCUAUCCCUCUGUUUCGUAACACCUUUGAUCAAAAUCUGACGUUUUUGUCUUAAAUAUAUGACUUAUUUAUGAGUCAUUUACUUCAAAGUCUGUAUAUAAACAGCAGUUCUAGCAAUACAUUUAUGAACCCCUUCUUGUGUAUAAAUAAAGGAGAGACCGUGUUGACGUAUUUGUUUAUAAUGUGGUAUAUUUUACAUAUUCAACAUAUGAAACCAUUUAUGAAAUAAAAUUAGCGCAGCGUUUUUGUAAAAAAAAACAAACAAACAAACAAAAAAAAACCCACUUGUUUGCUGGGUUAAAAUUAACAACCCAACUUGAUGGGUUAGUUUAACCCAAAAUGUGUUCUGUCCUAUAAUUACCCAACUGUUGGGCUAAAAAUACCCCACUUUGAGAUGUUUUUAACCCGGUGUUUUUGAGAGUAGGACAGCAGGGACGUUGUGAAUGUGUGUGCUUAAUAAAAACCAUUAAGUAAUUAUUCAAUAAGAUAUCUGCAUCUGAUCUUGUUUUUAAUCCUUCUUUUGUCUGUGUCGAAUAUCCCCCCCCCCCCAAAAAAAACAAAAAACAAAAAACAAAACAAAAAAAAAAAAAAAACACCAACUUAUUAGUACAUUAAAGAGUAUAAAUUUAGUUUAGCCCAAAAUGUGUUCUUUCCUAUAUUUACCCAGCCAUUGGGUUAAAAAUAACCCAAUUUGGAUAUAAACGGGGUAUAUAACCAGUUACUAUGUAUAGCUGGCAAUGUUUCAUAAAAUAAACACACACCAAACAAUGCAAUAAUUUAUUGAUAACAAAUAAUCAUUCAUACCCAAAACAAUGGAGUUCUUCAGCAACAUUUAGCAGAAUGGUUGCCAAUCAGCGCACAGAUGCAGCAAGACACGUUAACUUGGAGAAACGAUACGGAACUGUAAUGCAGUCAAGGCCUGACUGGAACUACUUCAGCUGUGCAUUUACUGAAAAAUAAUUGCACACCUCAGAACGUCUGUCAGCCAAUCAGAAUUGAGAACAGAGCUGCGGUAUAAACUUGGUUACAGUCCAGUCCAAAGUUUACAGGAACAUUUUAUCUGCAGAUUUACAGAGAAAUGCAUCCGAAUGAAUCAGGAGGAACUUCAUCAUGCAGCAAGACUACGAUCCAAAACACACUUCCACCUCAACACAGGACUUCAUCAGGGGGAAAGUGGAAGGUUUCAGACUGGACAAGUCCAUCACCAGACCUUCACCCAACUGAUCAUCUCACCUCCUGAAGAGGAGACUGAAGGGAGAAACCCCCGAAACACACAACUACUGAAAGAAGCUGCAGGAAAAACCUGGAGAAGCUUCACAGAAGAAGAAACCAGCAGUUUUGAUGUUUCUAUACUUUUGCUUGCCUUUUGAAUGGUCUGAUACAAAAGCUUCUAUGUCUUAUGUUGUUUAAUACGUGUAGAUGUAAAUAGAUGUAAAUAAAAGCUGAAAUCCUAAACUCUCAAAAAAAAAGAACAAAAAAAAAGCUGUGAUCUAUCUGUUAUAAUUAAGAUCUAGGCACUCCAAAUGCAAACUUUAUUAGUACAUAACAUCUUACCUUUUAACUACGUACAUUUUUAAGUAGAAUAAAAUGUUCAUUUUGCACGUUUGUACAACAAGGAACAAUUAAUGUAAAUAAAACAUGCACAGCACUGAACAAAUCUGUUCAGCUGUAUUAAAUACAUGAUUUAUUCAUGGUAAGAGCGAGCUCGACUAUUUAAUCAGUUCAAUGUGAACAGUUUGAAAAUAUUCUAAAUGCAUGGAAAGAUAAAGGAACUGAACUGUCAGGAAUACUGAUGUAUGUAUGUUCAAUAUGUCCGAGGCGGAUUUACUGUGUCAUUUUAAAAUAAAUAUGAAAGCUAACAAAAAGAAUAUUGUCAAACGGACUGUUUCUGGAGGCUGAACCCAAAAAACGUAAACGUGUCUUGUAAACCAAAAUAUUUCAAUCAAUAAAAUGAAAUGCUCUGGAGUCGUGGCAGUUUAUGAAUAGGAGUUUAACAUAACGGAAAUUGCAAAUUACUGAAAUGCACAGUAGGUACUGUGAUGUAUAUAUCCCCUGUGAUGCAUUUCUGCAUUAUGGACCUCACCUAAAUUUAUAUCCUUGUUACAGUCCUGCUUGGCAUCCAGUGUACACCUAUUCAAGUGGGGAUGUGGGCAUGAUCUAGACUGGGUGGUGUUAGGGUGUUUUUAAUGUAGACAGCACCACCAUGCAUUGAGACAACUGGAAAACUCAUGCAUCAUCAUUUCUACAGUAACAGCUCAUUCCCAGGGACACACGAACACUCCACAUUUAAAGAUGCGUGUAAUCGCUUUUACGGUGAAGUUUUCUGUAAGGAGACAUUGUAA